GAUUAUGGCUCAGGAUGAACGCUAGCUACAGGCUAACACAUGCAAGUCGAGGGGCAGCAUUGGAGUAGCAAUACUCAGAUGGCGACCGGCGCACGGGUGAGUAACACGUAUCCAACCUGCCGCUUACUCGGGGAUAGCCUUUCGAAAGAAAGAUUAAUACCCGAUGGUAUAAAGAGUUCGCAUGUUCUCUUUAUUAAAGAAUUUCGGUAAGCGAUGGGGAUGCGUUCCAUUAGAUAGUUGGCGGGGUAACGGCCCACCAAGUCUACGAUGGAUAGGGGUUCUGAGAGGAAGGUCCCCCACAUUGGAACUGAGACACGGUCCAAACUCCUACGGGAGGCAGCAGUGAGGAAUGUUGGUCAAUGGACGAGAGUCUGAACCAGCCAAGUAGCGUGAAGGAUGACUGCCCUAUGGGUUGUAAACUUCUUUUAUAAGGGAAUAAAGUGAGGGACGUGUCCCUUUUUGUAUGUACCUUAUGAAUAAGGAUCGGCUAACUCCGUGCCAGCAGCAGC
This 509-nucleotide ribosomal RNA is filed under the name uncultured bacterium. RNAcentral describes it as "bacterial SSU rRNA". It matches the Rfam family "Bacterial small subunit ribosomal RNA", at positions 15 to 518 of the family's 1533-position model. The record is from RNAcentral.